GGGUGGAUUCCCGAGUGGCCAAAGGGGACAGACUGUAAAUCUGCUGCGAUUCGCUUCGGUGGUUCGAAUCCACCUCCGCCCA
RNAcentral lists this transfer RNA (82 nucleotides) under Lachnospiraceae bacterium. RNAcentral's name for it is "tRNA-Tyr". It matches the Rfam family "tRNA". Rfam says of the family: Transfer RNA (tRNA) molecules are approximately 80 nucleotides in length. Their secondary structure includes four short double-helical elements and three loops (D, anti-codon, and T loops). RNAcentral also lists the same sequence under 5 other names. Lineage: Bacteria; Bacillati; Bacillota; Clostridia; Lachnospirales; Lachnospiraceae. The record is from RNAcentral.